RNAcentral lists this ribosomal RNA (197 nucleotides) under uncultured bacterium. Its description in RNAcentral is "partial 16S ribosomal RNA". It matches the Rfam family "Bacterial small subunit ribosomal RNA", at positions 328 to 539 of the family's 1533-position model. The record is from RNAcentral.
ACGCUCGACACCUACGGGGGCAGCAGUGGGGAAUAUUGCACAAUGGGGGAAACCCUGAUGCAGCAACGCCGCGUGAAGGAAGACGGUUUUCGGAUUGUAAACUUCUGUUCUUAGUGAAGAUAGUGACGGUAGCUAAGGAGCAAGCCACGGCUAACUACGUGCCACCAGCCGCGGUAAUCUGAGCGGGCUGGCAAGGC